This is a long non-coding RNA of Drosophila obscura, 367 nucleotides long. RefSeq lists it as uncharacterized. The transcript has 3 exons. Lineage: Eukaryota; Metazoa; Arthropoda; Insecta; Diptera; Drosophilidae. The record is from RefSeq and is a predicted model, not a curated record.
GACUUUGCUAUAUCGACAUGACUGUGAUGCUGAUUGGAAAUAAAAUCGAUGUCCCAUCCGAUCAAAGACCUGUCUGAUAUCCAGGAACACACAAACCACUUAUUCAAAAGCUAGGAUCAGCAGGAGUCGCCUUCAGGACCCACAGGGGAAGUGUUGGAGGCACAGCCUUCCGGUUCAUCUCGACAAAACGUGUUAUUGUUGGUGUCAUUUAUGUCAAUGGAAGAAAAACUAUCCAGAAUAGAUGGAAUGGGCAGGCUGUGUCUUCCUCCACUCUAACAUGAAAUAUGACUAGGAAAUCUAUAUAUAUAAUGAGAUGGAACGUGAGUCGCUUCUGAGUACGCGACUCUACUUUUAUAUCCGUACUCAC